UACGUAGGGGGCAAGCGUUGUCCGGAUUUAUUGGGCGUAAAGAGCGUGUAGGCGGCCUGACAGGUCUGCUGUGAAAACUCGAGGCUCAACCUCGAGAUGUCGGCGGAAACCGUCUGGCUAGAGUCCGGAAGAGGAGAGUGGAAUUCCUGGUGUAGCGGUGAAAUGCGCAGAUAUCAGGAGGAACACCAAUGGCGAAGGCAGAUCUCUGGGCCGUAACUGACGCUGAGGAGCGAAAGCAUGGGGAGCGAACAGG
This 253-nucleotide ribosomal RNA is filed under the name uncultured bacterium. Its description in RNAcentral is "partial 16S ribosomal RNA". It matches the Rfam family "Bacterial small subunit ribosomal RNA", at positions 524 to 776 of the family's 1533-position model. The record is from RNAcentral.